GUGAAUGGGCAUAUAAAAGUGAAGUAGAAGAUGCUCCAAAGUAUGAUGAAAAAAUUGUGAAUGAUGAGACUGAGAUCUAACCGGACAAAGGUGACAAUAAUUGCUUUAUUUCUCAUCGUGUUCUUAGUGUCACUACUGCAAAAGAAGCAAACGGACUAGUUUGACAAUUAAAUCUGAAAAUUUGUGCACUUCCAAAUUUGAGCUCCAAAUUAAAAUUGAAAUCCUUCUUUUCCCUAUCCAACAACAUACUCAAAAGGUUUAAUGGACAUCAUAGUUCACUUGGGAUCCAAGGUUUUUCAAAUUGUAAUAGAAAAACUCUCCAGAACUGCAUUUCAAAGUGGCAUACUCCACACUGGUUUCAGACUUACCUCAGUUUCAGCAGCUGAGCUGAAAACUCUACCACUUUCAAACUUUGAACCCCAUUUAAAAUGUGGAUUAUUUAUUUUCUCUGUAAAACAACAUGUCUAAUAGCUUCACUACAUAUCAAAGUCCACUUCUUCUCUAAAACAUCUCCCAGCUUCAAUGAAAAUUCUGCUAGAAAUUAAAUUCAAAGUUGACUGAUUGUUACUAAUUUCAGACUUGUAUUUUUAGACCAUGAACAACACUUCCAAGUCAAUCCAUCUUUGACUAUGAAUUUGAGGUGCUUAUAACUUGAAUUUCACUUCCAAUUUGAUUCCAUUGAAUUCUAAAUGCCUUCAAGGCUUGCCUUCACAUUUUUGUCAAAUUUCUUCGGUUUUGAAUCUCAAAUUUGCAUUUCUGGUCAAAUUUUGACCUAAAGUUGACUUUGGCCCAUAAUACCUUCUUGGCAUCCAAAUUUCAUCAUUAACACCUUGAUAGCCAUUCUUAAGCUUUUUUAACACCUGGUUAUUACACCGAUCAGCCUAGACCCUUCCAAGCCAAUCGGCCUAGGGGUUUCCUUCGUCCCCUCACCUUCCAAUUUUUGCCAUGCGCUCUCUAGACUAUAAAUACCCCAAAAAAUCCAC
RNAcentral lists this long non-coding RNA (983 nucleotides) under Setaria viridis. RNAcentral's name for it is "long non-coding RNA (SVIR_LNC007766)". The record is from RNAcentral. Lineage: Eukaryota; Viridiplantae; Streptophyta; Magnoliopsida; Poales; Poaceae.